GAUGAACGCUAGCGGGAGGCUUAACACAUGCAAGUCGAGGGGCAGCAUAGGGUAGCAAUACUCUGAUGGCGACCGGCAAACGGGUGAGUAACGCGUAUGCAACCUACCUGUACAGGGGGAUAACCCGGAGAAAUUCGGACUAAUAUCCCGUAAUAAUAUCCGGAGGCAUCUUUGGAUAUUUAAAGUUCCGACGGUACGGGAUGGGCAUGCGUAACAUUAACUGGUUGGUAAGGUAACGGCUUACCAAGGCUAUGAUGUUUAGGGGUCCUGAGAGGGUGGUCCCCCACACUGGUACUGAGACACGGACCAGACUCCUACGGGAGGCAGCAGUGAGGAAUAUUGGUCAAUGGGCGCAAGCCUGAACCAGCCAUCCCGCGUGCAGGAAGACGGCCCUAUGGGUUGUAAACUGCUUUUCCAGGGAGAGAAACUUACGCACGUGUUGCGUGACUGACGGUACCCUGGGAAUAAGCAUCGGCUAACUCCGUG
This 486-nucleotide ribosomal RNA is filed under the name uncultured bacterium. RNAcentral describes it as "bacterial SSU rRNA". It matches the Rfam family "Bacterial small subunit ribosomal RNA", at positions 28 to 507 of the family's 1533-position model. The record is from RNAcentral.